This 433-nucleotide long non-coding RNA is filed under the name Capra hircus (goat). Its description in RNAcentral is "lncRNA (ENSCHIG00010024756.1)". The record is from RNAcentral. Lineage: Eukaryota; Metazoa; Chordata; Mammalia; Artiodactyla; Bovidae.
GGCCCCUGCCCUCCUGCAGCUGGUCCCUCCUAGGGACCCCAGCCCGGCCAGCACCCCUCGUUACAGGCCCCACCGCGGGAAGGCACUCGGCCAGCUCUCUCUCGCUGCCCCCAGGGUUAGCAGAAGCCACGUGAGGGGAGGCCGCCGAUGGAACUCCGCCAUUGUACUACCACCCAGCUUAGCGUGGUCCUGGUCCUCAGAUGCUUCCGCAGCAGCCUCCCCGCAGCAGUCACUGGCUGUGGUGCAGGUCACGCUGGUCAGCAUGAGGGCCCCGAGCGCGGAGGCCACCCUGCACCAGGUCAGUCCCCCCGUGGGCCGGGCAGCCGGCUCUCUCCCUGCUCUCCAGUCAGGGCCCCCCGAGAGCCUACGGGAGACUUGGUGGGCAGUGGAGGGCGGGUGAGGCUUUGGGCCACAAGGCAGGUGGGGGACUGAG